RNAcentral lists this long non-coding RNA (865 nucleotides) under Rattus norvegicus (Norway rat). Its description in RNAcentral is "long non-coding RNA NONRATT012119". The record is from RNAcentral. Lineage: Eukaryota; Metazoa; Chordata; Mammalia; Rodentia; Muridae.
GCUUGAGGCAAGACAAGGUCUCCCAGAUGCCUGCUGUUGGUUCCGCGCGCCCCUCACCAGGUCUGCUGGUUGGACCGCGGCGCCCGCACGCCGGAGGUGCUUCCCUCUGCUUCGCGUCUACGGAUCUUCUCUUUGUGUCGUCUUCCACUUUGCUUUUAGCUUAGAGAUGUUACAUCGCUGAAACCCUUGUUCCCUGUUGAUAAUGACUCUUCGCCCUCGAACUGCGUCGUCAGAAGCAUGACUACCAAGUUUAUACGCAGUCUGCAAGCUGGAGAUAACGUUCAUGAGAGGUCAGAGGAGCAUGACCACGAAGACUGUAAGGACCAUAGCCCAAAGAGAUGGACUCUUUGAAGAGGAAAUAACGUCUUUGGUUUAAUCUUUGAGAACAUGAAAGAGGAAGACCUGAAGUUGUGAAGGGAAUGCCCAAAACAGAAAAGUAAAGAGUUUGCCUGCUUCUGUUUGGAGAGCUAACGCAGGUUUGGAUCUGGGAGGAGAGAAGGCAUGGCUGCUGCUCUUGCAGGACUCUCUGAAACACUCCACUCCGACAUCAGUGAGUGUGGAAACGCAGGGAUAUAAAAGAUGGACGCGAGCCAUGGUAGCUCCUAAAAGGCCUGGGUUGGAGGUCCAGUUUGUGUUUGUAUCUUUUACUCUAAAACCACAAGGUGGGGUGGGCAAGCAAGCGAAAUUUUACAGAUGCCGAAGUGUCAGUCAGCAGGUUGUUGAGGGUAACAUGACCCAAUGUUUCUACUAUUUCUCCAGGUCAUUGGGUUCCAGGUAGCCAUUGACGACACGCUUGGCAAACAGGCAUUGCAGGUGGUGCUUUGAGUAAAUCUUAAACUAAAUCAAUAAAUCAGUAUUUAAUAAC